CUUGCUUCUCUUGAGAGCGGCGGACGGGUGAGUAAUGCCUAGGAAUCUGCCUGGUAGUGGGGGAUAACGUUCGGAAACGGACGCUAAUACCGCAUACGUCCUACGGGAGAAAGCAGGGGACCUUCGGGCCUUGCGCUAUCAGAUGAGCCUAGGUCGGAUUAGCUAGUUGGUGGGGUAAUGGCUCACCAAGGCGACGAUCCGUAACUGGUCUGAGAGGGUGAUCAGUCACACUGGAACUGAGACACGGUCCAGACUCCUACGGGAGGCAGCAGUGGGGAAUAUUGGACAAUGGGCGAAAGCCUGAUCCAGCCAUGCCGCGUGUGUGAAGAAGGUCUUCGGAUUGUAAAGCACUUUAAGUUGGGAGGAAGGGUUGUAGAUUAAUACUCUGCAAUUUUGACGUUACCGACAGAAUAAGCACCGGCUAACUCUGUGCCAGCAGCCGCGGUAAUACAGAGGGUGCAAGCGUUAAUCGGAAUUACUGGGCGUAAAGCGCGCGUAGGUGGUUUGAUAAGUUGGAU
Molecule: ribosomal RNA, 518 nt
Filed under: uncultured bacterium
Lineage: Bacteria
Description: bacterial SSU rRNA
Rfam family: Bacterial small subunit ribosomal RNA
Source: RNAcentral